GAAGGUGGCAGUCUGGGCUCCUGGUGAUUGUAUCUGGUGCUGGAGAAGAUUGGCUCCCACAGUCAGUGAGAAAGGAAUUUUACUCACCCAGCACCCAUAUGAACUUCAGUGAGAAGAGAAGGUGGAGAGGUCAAGGAGCCUUGCUUUUUCACUUGCAAUUAUGGCACUUCCUUUGGAAAUGGUAAGACUAUAUUUUUAGACUUACACUGUUAACUUAAAAUCCUAACAGGUCAGGAAGAUGGCUUUAUGCACAUUAAGGCAUGCAAAAGAUUUAUUUUUCCUAUCAUUUUUCUUCCUCAAAUAGUCAUUGUAGGAAUUCUUGCUUUUUAUUAACACCUCUUAAGAAUAUUAACAGACCAGAAAACAUUUGUCAAUUGGGUGUUACACUAUGUUGGCACUGAAGUAGAUAUUUUAAAGUUUAAAAAUAUGUAACAGUGGCUUUUUAUUCAUUCAUCCGAGCAAUAUUUACUUGAAUGCAUAUCAUACAUCAGGGUUCUGCUAGGUACUGGAGAUUUUAAAAAAAUAAUAAAGCAAACCAAAAAAACUAAGUGAGAUCGGGUCUCCUUUCUUAAGUUGUCCUCAGUCUAAAACCUUAUUGUUUAGGUCAGUGGUUCUCAAUCCAGGGUGAUUUUGGCCCCCAGAGGACAUUUGACAGUUUCCUGGAGAAAUAUUCAAAUACUGCUACUGGGAGGGAUGGGGGAUGCUAUGGAAUCUAAUGAGUAGAAGCCAGCGAUGCUGCUAAGCAUCCUAUAAAAUACCAUUCAGCCCCCAACAAUUGGAUUAUGAGAUCCAAAUGUCAAUAGUGUCCAAGUUGAGAAAUCUGCAAACCCACUGGGCUCUUCCUUAAACAGAGAGCACUUUCACCAUGUGUGAAUUAAACAAAGCAAGCUUUAAAGCCACCUUCUGCCCUGCUUCUACCAGGUGGGUUUGGAAUAUUGAAGGGUCCCUACUAGCUGAGGGGAGAAUAAAUGUUAUCGUCAUUUAGAACAUUUAGUCUUGUUAUACUCCCCAGUCUCUCAGGUGGGGCAUGGUGGUGGCCCUGUUCAGCAGAAGGUCAGCUAUUCUGUCAUGAGCCCAGGCCAGAGACAUGUCCUGUUAAAUAAGUCUGCCCCAGAGAGAGGACAUGAGACUUCUCCUCUUUGUUGGGAGCAGCCAAGCUUCUAUAUUCAAGGCCGGUUAAGUGCAAGUCCUUUCAAACCGUAUUACUGAAAGAUAAUGACAGUCUUACAAUUUAAACGUAAUAUUUGCACCUAAAUUGAAACUACCAUCAAAAUUUUGCAUUGUUUUGCUUCUGUGUAAGUACUAACUGCAAAGUCUAAAGGAAAGAAGUAACCUUACAAUCAUGCUGUUCAGUGUAGCUACUAGCCACAUGCUGCUGUUUAAAUUAGUUGACAUUAAAUAAAAUUUAAAAUUUUAUUCUUCAGUGGCACUAGUCAAUUGUAAGCAUCCACUAGCCAUGUGACUACUGGCUACUGAAUUGGACGGUGUGGGUACAGGACAUUUCCAUCAUCACAGGAAGUUCUGUUAGACAACAUUGUCCUAGAAGUCUCCAUUUCAAAGGCUUCUUAUCAAUAUGCACAGUUAUUUCUAAAAAAAAAAAAGGCUUGUUUCCUAGCAGCUGAGACACUGGGGCAAUGCUUUGCAUUCUCUCAUUAUGAUUGUCUGUUAGAAAGGCACAGACAUGUUCUGCUGGGGGGACCAUCUUUCUUCUGACAUGGAAUUUUUCUGAAGGGUUUAUGUAAUGGAUGUGGGAUAAGGUGUCAGAUGAUUGAAACUAUGAUUUUUCCAGAAGAUAUAACAAUGUAAAAUUCAAAUAGGUGACUCCUGUAAGACAUUUCUGAUCUAACUCAAGUAUGUAUUGUUAAAUAUUAAUUCCAUUAAAGUAUGUCAGCAGGGAAUUAAGAUAUGUGACCCAAAUCUAUUUCUUUUUAGUAGCUAGGUAUAAUAGAGAAGUAGCACUCAGUGGAUCUCAACUGAAGAAGAGGUGGGGUAAAGGGAGGAGGGGAGGUUCAGAAUAUUUGGAAAAGAUUCUCCAUGUUAUUCUAAUGUACCUAAUCCAGGUAAGUAUAGUUUAGAGAUAUGGAAAGGACAAUUGAUUUACCUUUUACUGCUGUAUGAUUGGGGGAGGGGGAAAAGUUGUGACUUUUAAAAUCCCUCCCUUUAGUGGGGCCUAGACAUCCCCUCCAUUCUCUCUUGCUGUCUUUCCUUUCAGUGACCCACCUGUCUACCCUUCUUACCUGGUUAUUUAGGAUAAUCAACUGGCUUUAGAACAAUGGCCUUAGGCAGUUUUUUCCGGUAUCAAGAGCCUCCAGCAAACUUUUGCAAGCUGUAUAUCACAAUCUUUUCUCGGCUGCAUUUUUUAUUCAGUGCUUACUGGUCAAAGCAAGUGUCUUAUGCACAGAGGAUGCAUUAGCCAGAGAGGACACUCAGAAGAAAUUCAAGAAUCCAUUUAGUUUUGUUGUUCAGGGUGAAAGGCACCCCACUUCCACAGAGAGGUGGUCUAUGGGUGUGUGAGCAGGGCUAAAACUGUUCUAAAGGAACUGUUCAAGCCAUUGACUAACUAUUCAGGUAGAGGACCCAGAGUUUGGUCAUAGAGCUUUACCCACUUUUGUUAAUGUUAGAAGGCCAUUACUAGCCAUACAGAAACCUAUCAGUACAUCAGAAUGAGACCUUGUUCAGCUGAUAGGUACAAAACGUCAACACUCUUCCCUCUUACCCCUAUUUAAGUCUUGAAAUUUCACAUCAAAUUUUCAAGAUGUGUUAAUCCUGAAUGGGUUGAUGUUUUUUACUUUCAUUUUCUCAAGUUGAUUUAGAAUAGCUUUACUACAUUCUUUGUUUUCAUUUCUGGUUUCAUAUUUUCUCCUGGUAGAAAUUUACUUUUCCCCCAUAAUAUAUAAAAUGUUGAUCACUUUAGCUGGGCAUGGUGGCGCGUGCCUGUAAUCCCAGCUACUCAGGAGGCUGAGGCAGGAGAAUUGCCUGAACCCAGGAGGCGGAGGUUGCAGUGAGCCAAGAUCACGCCAUUGCACUCCAGCCUGGGUAACAAGAGCGAAACUCUGUCUCAAAAAAAAAAAAAAGUUGAUCACUUAGAGUUUUUAAAAAAAUAAGGUGGAAGUCACAUCAUUGCAUAACCAUCCAGAAUAUACAUUCUUUUUGGUGGCAUGAUGUCCAACAUAUGACAUUAGGGAAAAAAAUCCCACCACCCCCAGAAAAUGUCCAACCUUAGCUUCCUCCUCCUUUUAAGGACAUAAGAGCCUGGUGGUUGAUGAUGCAAGAGAUAAAACCGUGAAGAGACUGAAGAAACUAGUUCAUCAAUUGUUGAGAUUCCAUUUCUAAAACAUCUUAGUGUAUAUUUUUUCUUUGAGUCUGCCUAUGCCUAUGCCUGGGAUGUCAAGAGCUAUGAAUUGCCUUAAGGUUCAGGGAGCCAUUAAGGUUUGUCUUCUCAAGGUAUUCAGCUAGAGAGGGAUGUGGAUCUUAAAACCAUGUAGAAUUUGGGCUUAACAGAUUCAUGAAUACCUUGAAAAGAAGGCAGGAAAGCAUGAAGAAAGAACACUAGAAUGUCCUACUGAAAACUGCAUCAUCCAUCAGUAAAUAUCGAGUGUCUGUCAUGGGCCAGGCCCAGUGCAAUAUAAUGUGUUGGUGUAACAUGAGAAAAAAUAUAUAUUUGGUCUUUGUCCCAGUUUCUGGCACAGAGCUCCUAAAACUUUUGGAAAUUCCUGAGUGAUAAAGUAUCUUUUGCAUGCUAAUGAGGUGACUAAAGAGGGCAGUGCUAAGUUAGCUUCAGGAUAAGGGUUGGUCACCAGAGGAGCCAACCACCUGAUUAGAGGAUUAGAAUUGUCAUCUCUGCACUGCCUUCUUCCCCACUCCAGACAGGGGAGAGGGGCUGGAGAUUGGGUUCAAUCACCAAUGGGCAAUGACUUAGUAAAUUGUGUCUAUGUGGUAAUGAUGGUUCCAUAAAAACUCUGAAGCAAUAAGGCUCAGGGAGCCUCCUGGUUGUUGAGUACAUUGACAUAAUGGCAGGGUGCUUACCCAGAAAGGGCAUGGAAGAGCUGUGUCCCCUCCCUGCCCUAUUACCUUGCCCUAUGCAUCACUUCCAUUUGGAUGUUUCUGAAUUAUAUCCUUUAUAAUAAAAGUAUAAUUGAAAGUAGAGAGCUUUCCUGAAUUCUGUCAGUCAUUCUAGCAAACUAUUGAACCUGGGGAGAGGUUGUGGAAACCCCCAAAUUUGUGGUAGACUGGGAAGAAGUGCAGGUAGCCUAGAGACAUCAUGUACAGCUGGCAUCUAAAGUGAGGGCUUCUUAUGGAACUGAACCCUUACUGUGUGGGGUCUAGGCUAACUCUGAGUAGCUAGUGUCUCAAUCAAGUUGAAUUGUUGCCAACCAGUUGGCUUCAGAGUGAGGCAGGAAAAUGGGGUCUGGUAGCAGGGAACAUAAGGCCAAUUCACACUUCAGCUGUGCCAGGAAAUACCCUCUCCAUAGGGUGUAUGCUGAGUAAAUGACUUUGUCACUUUACUUCAUCUCUCCAUUUAUGUAGGGCUUAUACCAAGUAACCAAUGGAAUCUUCUGGAGGGUAUUUAAACUCCCCAAAAUUCUGCAACAGGGCCUUUGAGCUCCUAUGCUCAGGCCAGCUCCCACACUAUGGAGUGUACUUUCAUUUUUAAUAAAUUACUUCAUUCCUUCCUUGCUUUAUGCAUUUUGACCAAUGCUUUGUUCAAGAUGCCUAGAACCUGGACACCCUCCACUGGAGGAUGAAUCAGAUAAUUUGUUGGUACUGGAAUGACAUAGCUGGGAUUAAAAUGGUGAACAGGAGUAGACAUUUUUCUACUCUCAAAAUUUAUAAAUAGUAUGCCAAUGAGUUUGUUGGAGUUAUUUAGCACUCUGCUGUAUAUUGUCCUAUCACCCCCUCCAAAUCUACUCCCCCUGGUCUUUAGAGGCUGACCCUCAUAGAACACAGUAAUGGACAUUCUUCUUUCUGUCUGUAGUUGGGUUUGAUCAAUGGGGUGUCCUGGGAGGAAAUUGAAGGGACCCAGGUAAGUGAACUCAGGGUAUUGAUUCACCUCACUCACUCCUUGGAAGCCCACCUUGGGCGGUAUCUCCUUUCUAGGCAGUCCUCUCAACAAGGCUUUCUCCUUCCCAGUCUGGAAACUCCUCCUUGUCUCCUUGUGCAUAAGGGUGGUGUAAGCACUUCAGCUUCUAAUCUUUAGUUUUUGCCUGCAAACCCUUGUGGUUCUAUUACAUCCUGUAUACACCCUUGUAAAAAGUUUCUUAUUAAAUAAACCUUCUUUGAAUUAUCCUAAGAUGAGUGUUCUGUCUCACUGAGAUCCUGACUGAUACAAGCAUUAUCUAUUUAAAUGUUGGAUGUAUGCUUGCAAAGUAUGUUGAGUUUUGUUUUAGUAUAUUUGACGCGGAGCCAGCUGUUCAGCUACUUAAGAAGGUGACCCUGGUUUGUAAUGAUAAAAUUGUAUUAUGGAGUAGGAUGUUUAUCAUCCUAUUUCCUUUGGCAGGAAAGUAUAUAUUCAUUGAGGUACAGAGAAGGGGAGCUAGAACAUUAGUUCUGUUUUAUAGCAUUUAGAAUUACAAUUUUUGUUGCCAAAAUGUUCUUCUUAUCCAUUAUGAUUCUGACAUUAAUACAAUAUUCCAGGCUUUGAAGAUGCAUUAAUAGUUUGGGAUUUUACCAAGAUGAUACAUGCUGAUGAGAGGUUGAUAAAUGUUGCAAAAAGUCCUUCUUAUUAACUGUUUUAUAGGCGAGAUGGUACAGGAUAGUAACGCUCAAAAAUUUAAUGGUUUUGCCUAAAAUAUGUUACCUUUCAUGAAAAACAUUUGAGUGAGAGAGAGCCCAGAAACGAGUUGUGAAGAGAGCACAAAAUAUGUGCUUUUAUUGUUUGUUUGACAGAGGUGGAGAACCACAUCAUGAAAUUUACAUUUGUUAUUGAUCUUUUUGCCUGAACCCACCCUAGUACCUCCAUUAGCAUCUGUUAGAAGUCAGUUUUUCCAGAUGAUAAAUUUCUUUUACAAAGAAAUGAACUGUGAGUUUGUAGCCUUUCACAGGAGACUAUGAGCCUCUUUCCUUCUUAUUUUGCUUACUAAAGUCAUUACUGAAAUAUAAAUUUGGGUGGCUAGAUGGGAUAAUCAAAGCUGGUUUCAACCCGUCUAUAAUCCACUGAUCUGUAGAUUAGACAGAAAGCUUCUCAGAAGAUGGUACCCGUGUACCUCUCGAGAAUUGGAGAGAGGCUGCCUGCAUAAUUGAUCACUAACCUUUAUAGAUAAAAGCAAUUUCAAAGACCAUCUACCUGCUAAUGCUAUAGAUGAGGAGACUGAGACCCUGAGAUACAAAAAGACUUACCCAGGAACGCAGCUGUAUUAGUUUGUCAGGGUUGCCAUAAUAAAGUAUCACCAACUGGGUGACUUAAGCCAGAGGACUUUACUGUUUCACAGUUCUGGAGAUGGAGAAUCCACAAGUCAGGGGGUUGGCACAGGGGUUCCUUCUGAGGGCUGUGAGGAAAGGACAUGUUCCAGGGCUCUCUCUUUGGCUUGUAGAUGGCCAUCUUCUCUCUGUGUCUUUUCACAUUAUCCUCCCUCUUUGCAUGUUUGUAUUUAAAUUUCCUUUUCUUAGAAGGACACCAGUCAUAUUGGAUUAGGGCUUACUCUAAUAACCUUAUUUUAACUUGAUUGACCCUGUAAAGACCCUCUCUUUCAAAGAAGAUCACAUUCUGAGUACUGAGGGUUAGGACUUCAACAUACGAAUUUUAUGGUGGAUGCAGUCCAAUCCCUAAGCACAUCAACUGUCUGAAAACUGACCAGAAUCUUGGUCCUCUGAGGCUCUUGUUCAUUUUUUUCUUAUCAAAUGACUGUGCCUUUUAAUAUUCUUGUUCCUGUUACUACAGAGAGCAUUCCCUCUUUCGCAAACCUAAGAGACAAGCUUGUGGUUAAAGCAUCAACUUUUCUCAGACACAUCAAACAAUUCCAUUUAGGGGAAUAUAAGGCCAAAGUAAAUUUAGAGAAGUUAUGAUCCUUAUUACUAUAACCUGAACAUACUCAUUUUGGGGAUAAUGAUGAACAAUGAAUUUUUUUAUUAUCACAUGGCUGUUAAUGUUGAAUCUUUAGAGUUAGACAUGAAAUUCUCUCAGACUUAUUUAAUGAACGCAGUUUAUAUUAUUAAAUUGUGAUGAUAAAUCAGUUUGCUGAGUUAUUCUCUUCUUUGACUUGACUUUCUCUACCCCUGAAAAAUAGCCUUCCAGGAAAGGAGCUUUCCUUUCUGGAUGUCCUAUGGAUGAAGCUUCGGCAGGACUAUUGUCAACCCAGGCAUUUAAUUCACCUGAAAUUAUGUUGUCAGCUCAGGGAUACUUGAAGCAUAUAAAGUUUAGGAGGCAAUGGAAUCAGUGCCAGAUAUUUAGGGAUAUGUUUGCAUACAGGUAGGGAGGCAAUUAUUAUGUUGUACCAAGUGGUCUUUUCGGGAAGGUGAAUCAAGACAAGAUAAAUAAGUUUUUAAUUCAUGUCAGGUGACUGAGGUCAGUGUAGCCUAUCACCCUCACAUCAACCAGAACUUCCUGGAUUAAAGGUUGGAACAGAAGGAAAAUAAUAGAGUAUUAAACUCUCCAGUAAUGACUUCAUUCUUCCCAUUCUCACAUGGCCUAAAAUGCUGAUUUUCAAGGAGGGGAACCUAAUGCUGAGAGAAAUAACAUGAUUAGUCCAAGAAAACAGUAUACUCCCGCAAUGUGCUUCUACCCCAUAUAGCAGCUGUAAUGCAGGACUCAGGCGCUGUGAGCUAAGUGGCAGUUCUAACUCUCUAGCAAUAUUUACUAGAAUAUACCUAAGUUUGGGCCUUCCCUACUAUACCAAGUCACAGACUAUGUCUCUUGGUACUUAGAGGUAGUAGGUUUUAGGAUAUACACCUGCACUCCUCACCAGCAGUGUCUCCGAAAGCCCAUCCCUUAGAUGAUCAGCCUUUCAUAUAUGUCAAGAAAAGAAACUUUGAUUAAGUGAUGAAACACAUUUGGAAAAUGCCACAUACUGCAUCCCUUUCUUACAUACUCAUCACACAUGUUAGAAUAUUGACAGCUUUGUAAUGUCUGGCAAUGAAAAAGCCAUUUAACUUUCUUUAACCAGGUGUUUCCAAAAGUUAUCUGAUCACAGAACCAUGUGUUCAUGUAAAACCCGUAAGUUGCAAGCAACACAUUUUAAGAAACCCUGUCUAAAUUUUGCAGAAGUCAGGGAAAGAUAUACAUUAACAAAGAAUUUAGAUCAGGUUUAGAGAUGACAGAGCAAAAGAUCUGUGGAGAGGUCCCUAGAGAACAGGUGAGUGAUAAUCCUUAUCAUCUGCCCCCAAACAUUUCUGGUGGCUAUUAACAGGAAGGGAAUCCUAAGCUGGGCUGGGCAGGCUUUUCACACAUUACAGUCUUUCCUCAUUGUGGGGGUGUGGAUGACUGUGUGAAUGUAUUUGUGUUUGACCUUGAUAGUCAGGUGCUUUAGGAGAGAAAAAGAGCGCUGGGCUAAUGAUCAGAAGGUCUGGUGUGUUUUUGGCCUUUAUCGUGAACUUGUGAUGUGACAUCUCAGCAGUCCCAGUGCUCCACUAGUUAGUGUGGAUGCUGUUGUGCCACCUCCAUUCAUCUGCACCACACAGGCCUUUAGUGUCCAAAGGCCUCUCUGUUCACUUGGGACCUCAGCAUAUGCUGUCUGAAGGUGAAAAGGAAAAGGAGGAUUUGGGGAUUUUUGUCAGGCGAUGACAUAAUGUCUACAGUGUUUUGAUCACCGCAGGAGGAGCAGAGGGUUUGGUGCAAAGGGCCCUGCUGUUCCUGAGGGAGGUGUGAAUGACUGACACCUGAUAAAACCACGCAGCACAGCCUGAUAGAGCCACUCAGAAUGUUUCUAGUUAGAUGCUGCUAUAAUGAAGACCCUUUGUUUUAAAACAAAAGAAACCACCUUGAACUUGGUUCAGGAAAAGAAUACACUUUUAGGGUAAGACACUUAAGCAUCAGAUAAAAUUUAAAGAAUUUAAACAACCACAUCUCAGGAAGGUUCAGAAGCGCAACACUGCAGGCUGCCUUUUUCUCUGUGUCUGUGUCUCAUCUGUAAUUCUUGGCAAAGAGAAUUGUAUAGCCCCAAUUACUGGUCAAAUGCCCACUCUAGUUCAUUUAGCUGUAGCAUAGCUAACAGCCGUGUCUCUCUCAUUUUUCCUGUUAGAAUCCCAAUUUGUUCAGGAGAGUGUGACAAUAGCUUGAUAUCAGGGAAGAUAGAUCCCACUCCAGUCCCAGAGGAUGAAUUGUGAUAAUCUAAACCGGUCAUAGUAAUCCCAUUUCUCUUUAUCAGUAAUUGGUUGAGGGUGGCAUUGUGACCUAGUUCUAAUGUAGGAGAUAUAAAUAGAAGUUAGUUGGAUAUGGUUCUGGGAAAGCUUUUGUCUUUCUUAUUAAAAGGAACAACAGUUUUACCGGGCAUGGCUUUUUCUCCUUCUCUGGGAUUCAGGUGUGAUGCCUGGUGAUUCAGCAGCCACCUUGUAACCAUGAUGUGACAAGUAUGAGGGGAAAGCUGUGUGCUAAGAAAAGAAAGCACAAAGGAGAACGAGCCAAGGUCCCUGUAUGGCUGAACUGCUGCACUGACACUGGAUGGCAUACCUCAUGAUUUGUUCUUAUUUGAGAAAAAUAAUAACCUAUUUGUUGACAUCACAGCGUACUUUAAUAGGUUGUUGUUAUUGUUGUCUUUACCUGCAACCAAAAACAUUCCUAAGUGAGAAAAUUAUAUAGUAAAAACAUGGGUGCCAGGAGCCAACUCCUAUGGCUCAGAGGAUGAUUCUCAGAUCUCUAAUGGGACAGAAGAAGAGAUGGCACCUACCAUGGUUAGCUAUUCAAAAGUAUCUACCAAAGCCACCCCAAAGUCUUGAAAUCUCACCACUGCUUUAGAGCAUAGAGAGAGAAACCCUGUUCUUUCUGCUGCACACCUGUCUUAGAUACAAUUAACUAAUUAAUUCUACUGAUUUUUACUGACUCACAUUAUCUGCUUGACGUUUUUCUAGGUGCUGAGGAUUGAUUGGUGGAGACCGAGAGGAUCUUGGCUCUGACUGAGCUCACAUUCUGAAAGAGAAAAUAGAAAAUAACCAUGAAACACAAAUGAAUGGGAUCACUUCAGAUAUUGAAAAUGUCUAUAAGUAAUAGAAAACAGUGUGUUAUGAUAGAGGAUUGGGGAGGCUGUGUCCAUGGAAGGCCUAGGAAAGUGAUAUUUCAAUUGAAACUUGAGUUGCAAAGGGCAGCCCGCUGUGCAAGGCUGAGGACCAAGCGUUUCAGGAGGGAAUGGUCAAGCCGGGAAUGAGCAUGGCCCGCUGAAGACCCAGAAUGAACUGCUAGUGGUGCCCACUGCACAGGGCCUGGGGAGGCCACCCAUGCUCAUCUCAUGGUAACGUGCCAGCAACUCAGCCCACUGGCAUCAUGAUGAAUCUCGGUGCUACUGCACAGGGCCUGGGGAGGCCACCCAUGCCCAUCUCAUGGUAACGUGCCAGCAACUCAGCCCACUGGCAUCAUGAUGAAUCUCGGUGCUACUGCACAGGGCCUGGGGAGGCCACCAUGCCCAUCUCAUGGGAACGUGCCAGCAACUCAGCCCACUGGCAUCAUGAUGAAUCUCGGUGCUGCUGCACAGGGCCUGGGGAGGCCCAUGCUCAUCUCACGGUAAUGUGCCAGCAACUCAGCCCACUGGCAUCAUGAUGAAUCUCGGUGCUGCUGACUGGGCUUCUUGUUGCAUAGGUGAACUGUCCCAUCAUCUGCUUGAGGCUGGCAGAGCUCAGGGGGUCAGACCACAGGGAGUGAUCUAUGUAGGAGAAUCUCUGACCAGAGUGACUGAUUCCCUCAUGUUCUUUCCUUUUGAGAAUUGAUUCGUUAUUCCAAGCUGCAGCUCCUAUGCUCUCCAGAGGACUAGCUUCCCUUGGAAUGGGGUCAGCCCUGCUCUGGAGGGACUGGGAGGGCAUUCAGCUACCACACAGUUGCUGCAGGACCACGCUCCACUUACCCCCUCAAGUUAUGACUGCCCCUGUUGACAUUGUCUAGUGCUUGAGAGUCCCCUCUGUAGAGACCUUGCAGAGAGUCAGGAAGCCUGCUAGGGCCCUGCGCUGGUCAUACCUGACAUCAGUUUCAAGUGAUACUUAUCAGUGAAGCAGUCAUAUGAGAUCACAAAGCUAGAAGCUCCUUCCAAGCUCACAAUGUCCUACAUUCCUCAUGGGUCUGGCCUAACCCAGAACAAAAGUGUCAGUAUGCUACCCCCUUCUAACAAGUUGCCUACGAAGUGGAAUAUCCACCCGGCUUGGUAGACAAUCCAGUUUUCUUUUUCUCUAACACUUGAACUUGCUGGCCAUUAGAAUCACUAUAAUUAUAUUAGAUGUUAGAGUUCCUGUGUGAGUGCUGGGAUGUGAGGAACGUGAUUGCUCAACUUAGAAGAGUAAAGUUGCCUGGAAGUGCCUGACCUGCCAUUUAAAAACCCUGGGUUUGGUUUUCCUACACCUGGAACACAAAACUACAAAAUACCAAAGUUGGAGGCAAGCUUGGUAAUUAAUAUCUGUCCUCUUACAGAUGAAAAAAAAAAAAAGGAGCAUGACCUGACCAAGGUUAAUAAUAAUACUACAAAGGAAGGCUCUUUGGGAUUCCCAUGUCCCUGUAAUAGGUGUUAGAAUUUGGUUGUAAUGUGCUCUUUCACUUACAGAACAAAGAAAAAAACCUUGCACGUCAACAAUGUGUGCCAUCAAAGUUCCCCAUGCCUCUGCAUGCCUCUGUGUGGUUUGAUUCUCACCAUCCAGUGUAGUGGGCAUUAUUUUUCUCAUUUUACACAUAAGGAAAACGAGGCCCAGAAAGGUUAAGUCCAUUCAGUUAGUAGGUAGCAAUCCUGAACUCAAGCUUCAAUCUUCUGCCUUUUAUUCAAUAUCAUUUCCAAGUCCUUCACUUUGAUUUUCUGGGGGAUGAGUGUGCAGCAGGAAAUUAGCUAUAACUUAGGGCAAGAUAUAUAGCUCUGAAGAGUCUCUGCCUUAUUCGGGAAGCAGAUAUUGUGGAUUGCUAGAAAAUCUAAAGAAAGGAUUCUGAUUUUUAGUGACAGUACCCUCACCUUCAUUGGCAUGUAAAUUCUUCCCUCUUGGAACCACUGUAGCUGGAGCAGGGGCCUCAUGGCUGCUAACAUAACGGUGCUGUCAUCUCAGCAGCUGCUUCUCCUUACCUAAAUACCACCUCCCAGGCAUAGUGUGGCUCUGAGAAGCUCAAGCUGUUAGAAUCCGGUGGCUACUCCAAUUCCUGAUUCUGUCACUUUAGAUGACCUGAGCUACAUUAUUUAAACUUCCUAUAUCUCAGUUUUUCCAUCUAUAAAAGGGGCUAGUUAUAGUACCUUCCUGAAAAGGUGAAGACUAAAUGACGUUAAAAAAAAAAGGAGAGUAACGUGCUCAAUAAAUAUUUGUUGUUGCUGCUGCAUUUGCUCUUGAGACAAGGGAUUCUGUCACAGAGCUGAGUUUUCACCAGAAGUACAAAGGAAAAUGUUCAUAGUUCAUGGACACAGUGGCCAUGCCAGGGUGAGAUGUAUCCAAAAGAUAGAAUCACAUACAGUUGACUUCUUAACCCUGGGGAAUGAUUGCUCUGGACCUUAUACUACAAGGGUUGUCUUCAUUUUCUGCCAGUAUCACCCCUCUGGCCCCACCCUGUCAACAAAGCAGAGGGCUUUAACUCACCCACUUGAAAAGCUAAAGCUGACCUGGAAGUUAUGAUUAUGUAUUUAUUUAGUCUGAAAGAAGGAACAGAAAUAAGAGCCUUUUAUAUAACUCAAAGAGUGUAAAGGAGCCAGUGAUAAAAACCAUUGCCCUGAACUUUUCCAAAGCACCAUAAAUCUCUCUGUUAUGAUUCUCCAGCUGUUGCCAAGGUAUCAUUUGUCUUGUUUUUGUCCUCAGAUAGACUAAAACAAACGUUAACGAACUUCCUCCUGUUGGUUUGUGUAUCUGUGAUCAAAGGCUAUAAAAAUGCUACUAUUUCCAGUUACUCCCAUCAUCUGAAACACACCUAAUGCUUGUUGUGUGGUUUCUCAGCAAUAUUCUCAUUUUAAUUUGAUAGCUUUUUGUGUUUGUCUGUUUCCCUUUCAAAGCUGUUUUUUCCUCCCUUCCCUCCCUUCUGUGUUUCUUUCUGUCUCUGCUGAUAUUUUUGGCAUGUUUAGAUCAUCUUUCCACUGACCUUUCAGUGGCUUAGCAUUUUGUUGCAAUGCAAAGUGAAGUUGGGAAACAGAGCCAAGUGACAAACUGUGAAGUAACAGCUCAGCCUUCACAAAGCAAAUGUGCCUUGUGCUCUUUCUUGCCAGAGCAGAUGUAGCCUCAGUGGACUGUGGGGAACAUCAUCUCUCAGGUAAAAAUAAAUUACCAAGAUUAGGACCAAAUGAUGCAAAUCCUUUCAUUUGCAAACAGAUCAUGAACUGGGAGUCAUGCGGAAGGAAGACCAGACUGAGAAUCAGUUAGGAUCCCACCCUCAGCUUAGUCCAGAAUACUCUGCCAAUCAGCUAUUUGGCCGCAGAUGGAGUCUCUCUCUGUUGCUCAAGCUGGAAUGCAGUGGAGCAAUCAGCUCACUGUAACCUCCGCCUCCCGGGUUCAAGCCGUUCUCCUGCCUCAGCCUCCUGAGUAACUGGGAUUACAG
Molecule: non-coding RNA, 13621 nt
Organism: Callithrix jacchus (white-tufted-ear marmoset)
Lineage: Eukaryota; Metazoa; Chordata; Mammalia; Primates; Cebidae
Source: RefSeq, a predicted model, not a curated record